Mauremys reevesii (Reeves's turtle) is the source of this 491-nucleotide long non-coding RNA. RefSeq lists it as uncharacterized. The record is from RefSeq and is a predicted model, not a curated record. Lineage: Eukaryota; Metazoa; Chordata; Testudines; Geoemydidae. The transcript has 3 exons.
GUAAUGUAUUACAUUGCUCCCUGUAUGAAUGUGCUACUUAUGGCUGCCAGACCUGAUGCUCUGAGUGCCAUGGAAAGAGAAUUAGACUACAAAGCUGCUUCCAGCAGCUGAUUUGAACCAUUGUGACUGCAGUAUAUUAUACAAACCACCCUGACAGUGAAAACCAGCACAACUUGACAAUCCAACGCUGCACAUGCAUGGACUAGAAGAUUUUUCAGUACACACGGUGAUGUUUCCAUAUUUCUGAGAUCACAAUGUAAAUUUUACAGUGUAUAGUGGCUACUGUUUAAUAAGUUUCUUGGCUAAAAGUUAAAAAUAGCUGUAUAGAUUCUAUUAAAAGUUAAUAGGCUCGAUCCUGUUUCCACUGAAGUUUAUUGGACUUAUGACAUUAACCUCAAUGAAAAGAAUAUUUCACCCAGCAUAUUUUAUCCAGUUAUUUCUUGUCUUUCAUUUGUAAGUUCAGAAGAAACAAAAUGCCAAAGCGUCUCUUC